Molecule: small nuclear RNA, 93 nt
Filed under: Crocodylus porosus (Australian saltwater crocodile)
Lineage: Eukaryota; Metazoa; Chordata; Crocodylia; Crocodylidae
Description: U4 spliceosomal RNA (ENSCPRG00005012785.1)
Rfam family: U4 spliceosomal RNA (bases 1-78)
About the family: U4 small nuclear RNA (U4 snRNA) is a component of the major U2-dependent spliceosome. The structure of U4 snRNA from yeast and human has been reported.
Source: RNAcentral
AGCUUUGCACAGUGGCAGUAUCAUAGCUAAUGAGGUUAAUCCAAGGUGCAAUUAUUGCUAAUUGAAAACUUUACUCUGGCUUGAGGCUAUACC